Molecule: ribosomal RNA, 2596 nt
Filed under: Klebsiella pneumoniae
Lineage: Bacteria; Pseudomonadati; Pseudomonadota; Gammaproteobacteria; Enterobacterales; Enterobacteriaceae
Description: bacterial LSU rRNA
Rfam family: Bacterial large subunit ribosomal RNA
Source: RNAcentral
AAAUCAACCGAGAUUCCCCCAGUAGCGGCGAGCGAACGGGGAGCAGCCCAGAGUCUGAAUCAGCUUGUGUGUUAGUGGAACGGUCUGGAAAGUCCGACGGUACAGGGUGAUAGUCCCGUACACCAAAAUGCACAGGCUGUGAACUCGAAGAGUAGGGCGGGACACGUGGUAUCCUGUCUGAAUAUGGGGGGACCAUCCUCCAAGGCUAAAUACUCCUGACUGACCGAUAGUGAACCAGUACCGUGAGGGAAAGGCGAAAAGAACCCCGGCGAGGGGAGUGAAAAAGAACCUGAAACCGUGUACGUACAAGCAGUGGGAGCACCUUCGGGUGUGACUGCGUACCUUUUGUAUAAUGGGUCAGCGACUUAUAUUCUGUAGCAAGGUUAACCGUAUAGGGGAGCCGCAGGGAAACCGAGUCUUAACUGGGCGUUAAGUUGCAGGGUAUAGACCCGAAACCCGGUGAUCUAGCCAUGGGCAGGUUGAAGGUUGGGUAACACUAACUGGAGGACCGAACCGACUAAUGUUGAAAAAUUAGCGGAUGACUUGUGGCUGGGGGUGAAAGGCCAAUCAAACCGGGAGAUAGCUGGUUCUCCCCGAAAGCUAUUUAGGUAGCGCCUCGUGAAUUCAUCUUCGGGGGUAGAGCACUGUUUCGGCUAGGGGGUCAUCCCGACUUACCAACCCGAUGCAAACUACGAAUACCGAAGAAUGUUAUCACGGGAGACACACGGCGGGUGCUAACGUCCGUCGUGAAGAGGGAAACAACCCAGACCGCCAGCUAAGGUCCCAAAGUCAUGGUUAAGUGGGAAACGAUGUGGGAAGGCACAGACAGCCAGGAUGUUGGCUUAGAAGCAGCCAUCAUUUAAAGAAAGCGUAAUAGCUCACUGGUCGAGUCGGCCUGCGCGGAAGAUGUAACGGGGCUAAACCAUGCACCGAAGCUGCGGCAGCGACACUAUGUGUUGUUGGGUAGGGGAGCGUUCUGUAAGCCUGCGAAGGUGACCUGUGAGGGUUGCUGGAGGUAUCAGAAGUGCGAAUGCUGACAUAAGUAACGAUAAAGCGGGUGAAAAGCCCGCUCGCCGGAAGACCAAGGGUUCCUGUCCAACGUUAAUCGGGGCAGGGUGAGUCGACCCCUAAGGCGAGGCCGAAAGGCGUAGUCGAUGGGAAACAGGUUAAUAUUCCUGUACUUGGUGUUACUGCGAAGGGGGGACGGAGAAGGCUAUGUUAGCCGGGCGACGGUUGUCCCGGUUUAAGCAUGUAGGCUGGUUAUCCAGGCAAAUCCGGAUAAUCAAGGCUGAGGUGUGAUGACGAGGCACUACGGUGCUGAAGUAACAAAUGCCCUGCUUCCAGGAAAAGCCUCUAAGCAUCAGGUAACAUCAAAUCGUACCCCAAACCGACACAGGUGGUCAGGUAGAGAAUACCAAGGCGCUUGAGAGAACUCGGGUGAAGGAACUAGGCAAAAUGGUGCCGUAACUUCGGGAGAAGGCACGCUGGUGUGUAGGUGAAGUCCCUGCGGAUGGAGCUGAGACCAGUCGAAGAUACCAGCUGGCUGCAACUGUUUAUUAAAAACACAGCACUGUGCAAACACGAAAGUGGACGUAUACGGUGUGACGCCUGCCCGGUGCCGGAAGGUUAAUUGAUGGGGUUAUCCGUAAGGAGAAGCUCUUGAUCGAAGCCCCGGUAAACGGCGGCCGUAACUAUAACGGUCCUAAGGUAGCGAAAUUCCUUGUCGGGUAAGUUCCGACCUGCACGAAUGGCGUAAUGAUGGCCAGGCUGUCUCCACCCGAGACUCAGUGAAAUUGAACUCGCUGUGAAGAUGCAGUGUACCCGCGGCAAGACGGAAAGACCCCGUGAACCUUUACUAUAGCUUGACACUGAACAUUGAGCCUUGAUGUGUAGGAUAGGUGGGAGGCUUUGAAGCGUGGACGCCAGUCUGCGUGGAGCCAACCUUGAAAUACCACCCUUUAAUGUUUGAUGUUCUAACGUUGGCCCCUUACCGGGGUUGCGGACAGUGUCUGGUGGGUAGUUUGACUGGGGCGGUCUCCUCCCAAAGCGUAACGGAGGAGCACGAAGGUUAGCUAAUCCUGGUCGGACAUCAGGAGGUUAGUGCAAUGGCAUAAGCUAGCUUGACUGCGAGCGUGACGGCGCGAGCAGGUGCGAAAGCAGGUCAUAGUGAUCCGGUGGUUCUGAAUGGAAGGGCCAUCGCUCAACGGAUAAAAGGUACUCCGGGGAUAACAGGCUGAUACCGCCCAAGAGUUCAUAUCGACGGCGGUGUUUGGCACCUCGAUGUCGGCUCAUCACAUCCUGGGGCUGAAGUAGGUCCCAAGGGUAUGGCUGUUCGCCAUUUAAAGUGGUACGCGAGCUGGGUUUAGAACGUCGUGAGACAGUUCGGUCCCUAUCUGCCGUGGGCGCUGGAGAAUUGAGGGGGGCUGCUCCUAGUACGAGAGGACCGGAGUGGACGCAUCACUGGUGUUCGGGUUGUCAUGCCAAUGGCACUGCCCGGUAGCUAAAUGCGGAAGAGAUAAGUGCUGAAAGCAUCUAAGCACGAAACUUGCCCCGAGAUGAGUUCUCCCUGAGACUUUAAGUCUCCUGAAGGAACGUU